GAGGUAUUGAUAAGUUAGUCUGGUCCCUCAUUUGAUCUUAUGUGUUACAGACCAGAGGAACCAGAGAGAGCAGCAGUGAGUACUGCUCCAGAGAUUCAGAACCUGCAGAGUCAGUCAGUCCAGAGCCAGAGGUGAGUGGAACUAAACUUAUGACUUUUAAUGGAACCACAAACUGCUUUUAACAUAUCUCAUGCAUCAUGUUUAUGCCAUAGGUUGAUUGCAUUAGUAUUCACGAAUAUGUUGCAUUGCAUUGUUUAUUUGAUGAUGUGAGUAAAUGCUGAAUGAUCCAAUAGUCACAGACAGGAAGACCAGGAGCCUUUGACUACGCCCUGGCACGUAUAGCAAAGACCAGGAGCCUUUGACUACGCCCUGGCAGGUAUAUAGUAAAGUCCAGGAGCCUUUGACUACGCCCUGGCAAUGGUAAGUUCACAGGUGUUAUAUACACAUAUACAUAUAUGACAGGAAGACCAGGUGCUCGAUUCUACGCCCUGGCACAGAGUUACUGGGACUAUGUGGUGACAGGUUUACUCUUGAUGUGGCUUGUUUGUGUUAUGGCGCAUUUCAUGAGAUCAUAUUUUACUGAGAUGUUUUACUGUUCUACUCACUGGGCUAUAGAGCUCAUCCCACUCCCUUAACCCCAGUUUUGCAGGUUCAGUGUACAGUGUACAGGGACAGUCCAGCAGAGUACAGGAAGAGAGAAGAGAUCUGUAAUAGCUUAGAGUGGACAUGUAAAAUUAAAGAGAUGUAAUAGUUGUUGCUUGACCUAGACCUAGUGAUGUAUGUAUUGUACAUGAUCUGUAUAUGUAUGUCUGUUUUCCUGUAUGUGAAAACCAGGCUUAACAGGUAUGAGUUAACCCAUCUAGAGCAAGCUCUAGUUAGGGAUACAGAGUACAGAGUACUUGAGUACAGAGUACAGAGAUAGUGCAUGCACAGGUUAAGCCUUGGUUCAGAA
Molecule: long non-coding RNA, 952 nt
Filed under: Manihot esculenta (cassava)
Lineage: Eukaryota; Viridiplantae; Streptophyta; Magnoliopsida; Malpighiales; Euphorbiaceae
Description: long non-coding RNA (MESC_LNC001572)
Source: RNAcentral